This 1246-nucleotide ribosomal RNA is filed under the name Carnobacterium sp. Its description in RNAcentral is "bacterial SSU rRNA". It matches the Rfam family "Bacterial small subunit ribosomal RNA", at positions 29 to 1272 of the family's 1533-position model. Lineage: Bacteria; Bacillati; Bacillota; Bacilli; Lactobacillales; Carnobacteriaceae. The record is from RNAcentral.
GUAAAUAGGGGGCGGGGUGCUAAUACAUGCAAGUCGAACGCACGAAGUUGAAGAGCUUGCUCUUUAGACCAAGUGAGUGGCGGACGGGUGAGUAACACGUGGGUAACCUGCCCAUUAGAGGGGGAUAACAUUCGGAAACGGAUGCUAAUACCGCAUAGUUUCAGGAAUCGCAUGAUUCUUGAAGGAAAGGUGGCUUCGGCUACCACUAAUGGAUGGACCCGCGGCGUAUUAGCUAGUUGGUGAGGUAAUGGCUCACCAAGGCAAUGAUACGUAGCCGACCUGAGAGGGUGAUCGGCCACACUGGGACUGAGACACGGCCCAGACUCCUACGGGAGGCAGCAGUAGGGAAUCUUCCGCAAUGGACGAAAGUCUGACGGAGCAACGCCGCGUGAGUGAAGAAGGUUUUCGGAUCGUAAAACUCUGUUGUUAAAGAAGAACAAGGAUGAGAGUAACUGCUCAUCCCCUGACGGUAUUUAACCAGAAAGCCACGGCUAACUACGUGCCAGCAGCCGCGGUAAUACGUAGGUGGCAAGCGUUGUCCGGAUUUAUUGGGCGUAAAGCGAGCGCAGGCGGUUCUUUAAGUCUGAUGUGAAAGCCCCCGGCUCAACCGGGGAGGGUCAUUGGAAACUGGAGAACUUGAGUGCAGAAGAGGAGAGUGGAAUUCCACGUGUAGCGGUGAAAUGCGUAGAUAUGUGGAGGAACACCAGUGGCGAAGGCGACUCUCUGGUCUGUAACUGACGCUGAGGCUCGAAAGCGUGGGGGAGCAAACAGGAUUAGAUACCCUGGUAGUCCACGCCGUAAACGAUGAGUGCUAAGUGUUGGAGGGUUUCCGCCCUUCAGUGCUGCAGCUAACGCAUUAAGCACUCCGCCUGGGGGAGUACGGGCCGCGGGGCUGAGACUCAAAGGAAUUGACGGGGGACCCGGCACAAGCGUUGGAGCAUGUGGUUUAAUUCUAAGCAACGCGAGAACAUUACCAGGGUCGUGGACAGUCCUUUGACACUCUAGAGAUAGAGAUUUACCCUCCGCGACGAGAGUGAACAGUGGUGCAUGGCUUGUCGUCACUCUGUCGUGAGAGGUUGGAUUAGUCCGCACUACGCACCCGGUAGUGACUACUGCAGCAUUAUUUGGCACUCUAGUGAACUGCGGUGGCAGCCGAGGAGUGGGAGUGACGUCAUCAUCAUGGCCCUAUACUGCUACACGUGCUCAUGCAUGUACGAGAGUCGCCAGGUACGAGAGACCAGUCGAU